RNAcentral lists this transfer RNA (77 nucleotides) under Pseudomonadota bacterium. Its description in RNAcentral is "tRNA-Met". It matches the Rfam family "tRNA". From Rfam's summary of the family: Transfer RNA (tRNA) molecules are approximately 80 nucleotides in length. RNAcentral also lists the same sequence under 5 other names. The record is from RNAcentral. Lineage: Bacteria; Pseudomonadati; Pseudomonadota.
GGCGGUGUAGCUCAGUUGGUUAGAGCAUGCGGCUCAUAUCCGCAGAGUCCGGGGUUCAAAUCCCUGCACCGCCACCA